GACGAACGCUGGCGGCGUGCUUAACACAUGCAAGUCGAACGGAAAGGCCCUGCUUUUGUGGGGUGCUCGAGUGGCGAACGGGUGAGUAACACGUGAGUAACCUGCCCUUGACUUUGGGAUAACUUCAGGAAACUGGGGCUAAUACCGGAUAGGAGCUCCUGCUGCAUGGUGGGGGUUGGAAAGUUUCGGCGGUUGGGGAUGGACUCGCGGCUUAUCAGCUUGUUGGUGGGGUAGUGGCUUACCAAGGCUUUGACGGGUAGCCGGCCUGAGAGGGUGACCGGCCAAAUGGGGACUAAGAGCGGCCCGAGCCGGCACCGGGAGGCAAGAGGGGGAAUUUUGACAGAGGGGCGGCGACUGUUGGCCAGAAGCCCCGGGGGGGGAAUACGGGCUUCGGGUUGAAAACCGGUUUUCGCUGGAGACGAGGCGGGCGGAAGGUUAGGGGAUAAGAAAGCCCCGGCAAACUACGUG
Molecule: ribosomal RNA, 468 nt
Filed under: uncultured bacterium
Lineage: Bacteria
Description: partial 16S ribosomal RNA
Rfam family: Bacterial small subunit ribosomal RNA
Source: RNAcentral